GCAAGUCGAACGGUAACAGCAAGAGCUUGUCUUGGCUGACGAGUGGCGGACGGGUGAGUAAUGCGUAGGAAUCUACCUUUUGGCGGGGGAUAGCCCGGAGAAAUCCGGAUCAAUACCGCAUACGCCCUACGGGGGAAAGCGGGGGACCCCUUGUGGCCUCGCGCCGUAAGAUGAGCCUACGUUAGAUUAGCUAGUUGGUGGGGUAAUGGCCCACCAAGGCGACGAUCUAUAGCUGGUCUGAGAGGAUGAUC
Molecule: ribosomal RNA, 251 nt
Filed under: uncultured bacterium
Lineage: Bacteria
Description: partial 16S ribosomal RNA
Rfam family: Bacterial small subunit ribosomal RNA
Source: RNAcentral